AACCCCUACUUGUUAGUUGCCAUCAUUCAGUUGGGCGACUCUAGCGAGACUGCCGGUAAUAAACCGGAGGAAGGUGGGGAGUGACGUCAAAUCAUCAUGCCCUUACUGACCUGGGCUACACACGUGCUACAAUGGUUGGUACAACGAGUUGCGAGUCGGUGACGGCGAGCUAAUCUCUUAAAGCCAAUCUCAGUUCGGAUUGUAGGCUGCAACUCGCCUACAUGAAGUCGGAAUCGCUAGUAAUCGCGGAUCAGCACGCCGCGGUCGAAUACGUUCCGGGCCUU
Molecule: ribosomal RNA, 284 nt
Filed under: uncultured Streptococcus sp.
Lineage: Bacteria; Bacillati; Bacillota; Bacilli; Lactobacillales; Streptococcaceae
Description: partial 16S ribosomal RNA
Rfam family: Bacterial small subunit ribosomal RNA
Source: RNAcentral